Capsicum annuum is the source of this 119-nucleotide ribosomal RNA. Lineage: Eukaryota; Viridiplantae; Streptophyta; Magnoliopsida; Solanales; Solanaceae. The record is from RefSeq and is a predicted model, not a curated record.
GGCUGCGAUCAUACCAGCAAUAACGCACCGGAUCCCAUCGGAACUCUGAAGUUAAGCGUGCUUUAGCGAGAGUUGUACUAGGAUGGGUGACCCUCUGGGAAGUCCUCGUGUUGCAUACC